Molecule: unclassified non-coding RNA, 3560 nt
Filed under: Megachile rotundata (alfalfa leafcutting bee)
Lineage: Eukaryota; Metazoa; Arthropoda; Insecta; Hymenoptera; Megachilidae
Description: activating signal cointegrator 1, transcript variant X1
Source: RNAcentral
CAGCAAGUAUAGAAAGAACGAGGCAUGACUCGAAACGGAACGAAAUUCUUAUCUUGCUCGAACGCCUUUCUUUAUUCUCGAAACAAACUACUGUGCGUUUCAAUGACUCACUGUACGCGAUCGCGACACGACAACACGGUUUAUGAAAUGCUCGGGGACAAAGUCGAAAGUCUAUGGAAGAGAGGAGAAGGAAACGGAAAAAAAAAAGAAUCUUUGAGACGAUUUACCGAUAUCGCCGCGAAUCUCGUUGGCUGUUACCCAAAAGUACAGAGACGAGAUACCGGAGGAAAUUCAAGCAAGUAUUUUUAGGAUGUUGAACGCAACCGCGCGCGAUGGAUCUUCGCGCUACAGACUCGAUAAGAAAAUUUUUCUUUAAAUAGCGCUCCGUUAUUUCCGUUCGACGUAAGAAUGAAAAGGACGCGUUGCUUUCGGUCGCGACGCGAACGUCUUAAUUAGAAUCGGUGUAGAUCCGAAGUAGUCCAGUUAAUAAAAAUAAUCUUUUUAACGUUAUCCGUAUAAAAAGUAUAGGAAAUUAUUACUAUUACUCUUCUGAUGAGCGAGUAAGGACACGAGGUCUCGUGAAACUUAAUGACCGAUAUGUGUGCAAGUGUGGUAAGUUAAAACCGCGGUUCAGAUUUAUCGAUCAGAAUUUCAGUUUCGCGUGACACGUAAGUAACUGGAACAACCUUUUGUCGAUAUACAUAGAACCGCAUAGAUUUCGUGCGAGGAUUUCAUGGAAAUUUCUUCGACCGAAAUUGUUCGCGAUUCGCGAUAGAAAUUUCUCGUAAAGUCGAAAGACGAUUUUAGCCUACGGAAAACGCUAGAGGGAGACAUUCUGGAUCGACUAGCGUAAGGAGCUGACAUUUAUUAACGUAAUAAAAAAAUGGAAAGGUGGUUACAUGAAAAUUUAUCUAAAAUUUUAGAUUUCCCGGUAUCGGAUGAUAUUACAAAAUAUAUAAUGCAAAUACAAAAUGAAAGAGAUCUCGAUGAUUAUUUCAAAAGUUUCUUAGAUAAUAACAAUCCAAAACACAGGCAAUUUAUUAUAGACGUGAAAAAACGACAAGCGUCGAGUAAAGGCCAGACCGGUUAUAAAAAAGUAAACGAUACAGAUGAUACAAGGAAAAAGCAAAAUGAAAAGAAGAAAGGGAAAUUAAAAACUAAAGAGAAACAAGAAAAUAAACAGAUGCAAGAAGUUGUUAAGGCAGAGAAAGUAGAGAAACAGAAACCCAAGUUUAUUAAUCUAUACACCCAAGAAGGCAAAGAUAGAGUAAUUCAGUUAAAAGGGAGACAUAAAUGUGAUUGCGAGGCAAGAAGGCACGCGUUGAUCAAUAAUUGUUACAACUGCGGUAGAAUAGUUUGUACUCAAGAAGGAGCUGGUCCGUGUUUUUUUUGCGGAGAACUUGUGUGUUCUCCGAAAGACCAAACCAUCCUUUCUGCCAAUAAUAAACAGGCCGAUAACUUAUACAAUAAAUUAAUCAAUCAAAAACCUAGCAAGAGUUUAGAAGAAUCUAUAAAACAGAGGGACAAACUUAUUGAAUAUGAUCAAAGCGGGAUACAAUGUACAAAAGUAAUCGACGACGAAUGUGAUUAUUAUCAGUCGAACAACAUAUGGUUAGAUGUUAAGAAACGUGAGAGGUUACAAAAGUUGGAAGAAGAAAUGAAUGCGAUAAAGCAUAUGUCGCGUUUAAAUAAAAGGACAAACAUGACAUUUGAUUUCAUGGCUAGAAAAGUGGUCGAAGAAAUUCCAGAUGAUGAUUAUGAUGAAUACGAUGAACAAAUUCAAGCUAUUUCUGAAUCGAUCAAUGAUGUUCAAAAUUCUACUGUCUGCCCGGACAUAGAAUUUGAUCGUCCAAUGUACAUUGAAUUAAACGAAUCUGAACCACGAACACAAAAAAGAAACGUCCCUUCUAAGAUCAGAAAUAUUGUACAGGAUAAAGAGUAUCUAGAAAUGACAGAUUCUGGAUUGUGUUUGAGUAUGCAUCAGCCUUACGCGUCCUUAUUAGUAGCUGGGAUAAAAAUUCAUGAAGGUCGAAUAUGGUAUACAUCGCACAGAGGAAGAUUAUGGAUUGCUUCAACAUCUAAAUCACCAACAAUGGAGGAUAUUUCAAACAUGGAACAUUAUUAUCGUGUAUUAAAAGAUGAAAAAAUCAUAUUUCCCGAAAGCUAUCCAACCAGCAGUUUACUAGGCUGUGUAAACGUUGUUGAUGUUCUGCCUCAAGAAGAAUACCGAAAAUGUUAUCCUGAAGGAGAAAGCGAUAGUCCUUAUGUUUUUAUAUGCGAAAAUCCUUGUACAUUGCCAAUUAAAUUUCCAAUACAAGGAAAGAAUAAAAUUUAUAAAUUGGAUGAAAAAAUUCAUCAUGCUGCUCUUAAGUUGUUAGAAAAAUGUACGAAAGAUUAUUUUACGUGCGUUCGAUGAAAAAAUAUUAGCAGCUUUCUUUUAUUUCGUUUAAAAUACCAGACUGUAUUAAUAGUAAAAGUAGAUUUUGAUAAAGUUGUUCUUUUUUUUUUCUUCUUUUUUACAUAAACAUAGCCUGUAUAUUUGAAGUACAAAGAGAACAUUUUUUAAGCGAAAUAUAUCGUUAUAAAGUUUAUUAUUCUUAAUAAUUUUGAGAAUAACAAUAAUGUUCUACAAAAUCAAAAUAAUGAGUAAAUUGAUAAAUUAAUGUUGAAAAAUUUCAAAUAUACACCUAUCUCUUUUUAACACUUAAAAGAAGUAAAGGUAUAAAAAUGAAAUUUUUUACUUACAAAUUAAUUCAGAACUACCCAUUACAUGCAAUAAAAGGAUACUCGGUUAUCGUAAAUACAUCGGUAAUGUAAACAUCGUAAUACAUUAUUUAAAUAUUUAAGAUAGAAACCAGUUUUUGAAAAUAAUAAGUGUACAGAUAUUAAUCGAUGUAUCAGGAAUGUACAAAUAAAUACCAAACUAUUUUCUAUGGGUUUCAGUGUACAAUUAACGAUCACCUGUUGCAAUAUUAAAAUCGAAUAUUGAAGACGCAUUAACAGGACACAAAUACGAUAGACUCGGAUCAUAUUUUUAUUAAUCAAGAUAUCGUGCAAUCUCUCUAGUAUCGAGUAAUUUACAUUUGCUUCCUAAAUGAAUCUAUAAAAUGGUAAAACAACAACGUACAAUUUCCAAUAAUUGCUCGGCAGUUAAAACAAUUGAUUUUGUUAUGUCAACAUUAAUAAAAAUUAACAAAUAGAAAACAAUAAUUUACAAUUUGACAAAAAUAAAAUAAAAUCUUAUAACUUUGCAGUAUACCUUUGCAAUACACACUAUAACAAUACCAAUUUAUAUCUCUUUUCUUCUAAACAACAUUCCAAUACAUAUAACAUACAAUUAUUUUUCUGCUUUCUUUUUCCGUUUUAUUUUUGUUAUGGACAUCAGUAUAUAUGUUGUAUAAUAAAUAAUUUUCAUAUUAUUCGUGGUAUUACAAACUAUUUAGGCUAUCAAAUAUCGAUGAUGAGUUUUUAGUUGCCUAACUUUUACAUAAACACAUGCAGAUACUUUUGUUAAACGUUCAGCGAAAAUAAACAAUUUCGUAAUAAUUUAAUCGAGUAAU